UACGUAGGGUGCAAGCGUUGUCCGGAUUUAUUGGGCGUAAAGAGCUCGUAGGCGGUUUGUCGCGUCGGAUGUGAAAACCCAGGGCUCAACCCUGGGCCUGCAUUCGAUACGGGCAGACUAGAGUAUGGCAGGGGAGACUGGAAUUCCUGGUGUAGCGGUGAAAUGCGCAGAUAUCAGGGAGGAAACACCGGUGGCGAAGGCGGGUCUCUGGGCCAAA
RNAcentral lists this ribosomal RNA (217 nucleotides) under uncultured bacterium. RNAcentral describes it as "partial 16S ribosomal RNA". It matches the Rfam family "Bacterial small subunit ribosomal RNA", at positions 524 to 738 of the family's 1533-position model. The record is from RNAcentral.